This 1203-nucleotide ribosomal RNA is filed under the name uncultured eukaryote. RNAcentral's name for it is "SSU rRNA". It matches the Rfam family "Eukaryotic small subunit ribosomal RNA", at positions 577 to 1805 of the family's 1831-position model. The record is from RNAcentral.
CGGUAAUUCCAGCUCCAAUAGCGUAUACUAACGUUGUUGCAGUUAAAAAGCUCGUAGUUGGAUUUCUGGACGAUGACGUUUGGGUGGAGCCUCGUUGUUCCACUGAUCGUUCAUUGUUCAAAAUUUGUGAAAAGUCUUCAUGAUUCAUUCGUUUGGAUCUGUUGAUUAAUCACUCGUUUACUUUGAGAAAAUUAGAGUGUUCAAAGCAGGCAAUCGCCUUGAAUAUGUUAGCAUGGAAUAAUAACAUAGGACUUUUGUUCUAUUUGUUGGUUGUUCGAGAACGGGAGUAAUGAUUGAUAGGGACGGUUGGGGGCAUCCGUAUUCCCAAGCGAGAGGUGAAGUUCUUGGACCUUGGGAAGACGAACAGAUGCGAAAGCGUUUGCCAAGGACGUUCUCUUUAAUCAAGAACGAAAGUUGGGGGAUCGAAGACGAUCAGAUACCGUCGUAGUCUCAACUAUAAACUAUGCCAGCUAGGGAUCGGCGGGAUCUUGUCACGGAUCCGUCGGCACCUUACGAGAAAUCAAAGCAUUUGGGUUCCGGGGGGAGUAUGGUCGCAAGGCUGAAACUUAAAGGAAUUGACGGAAGGGCACCACCAGGAGUGGAGCCUGUGGCUUAAUUUGACUCAACACGGGAAAACUUACCAGGUCCGGACAUAGUAAGGAUUGACAGAUUGAAAGCUCUUUCUUGAUUCUAUGGGUGGUGGUGCAUGGCCGUUCUUAGUUGGUGGAGUGAUUUGUCUGGUUAAUUCCGUUAACGAACGAGACCCGCGCCUGCUAAAUAGCUUGCGUACUACGGUACCGUUAGCUUCUUAGAGGGACCAUCCUGCGUCUAGCGGAAGGAAGUUGCGGGCAAUAACAGGUCUGUGAUGCCCUUAGAUGUUCUGGGCCGCACACGGGCUACACUGGAGGGUACAACGAGCUUUACGCCGUACCGAAAGGUAAGGCCAAUCUUUGAAUACCCUCCGUGAUUGGGAUAGACCCUUGCAAUUUUUGGUCUUCAACGAGGAAUUCCUAGUAAACGCGUGUCAACAACACGCAUUGAUUACGUCCCUGCCCUUUGUACACACCGCCCGUCGCUCCUACCGAUUGAAUGUUUCGAUGAGUUAUUCGGAGGGGCGCACCCGAAGGCGUCAGCUGGAGGGUCGCUCCAAAGUCUCGCAAAUCUGAACAUUUAGAGGAAGGAGAAGUCGUAACAAGGUAGCCG